This is a non-coding RNA of Nannospalax galili (Upper Galilee mountains blind mole rat), 731 nucleotides long. Lineage: Eukaryota; Metazoa; Chordata; Mammalia; Rodentia; Spalacidae. The record is from the annotation of a RefSeq genome assembly.
CCUGCAUUUCCUGUGUUCUCAUUCAGUGACCAGCACUGAACAGACUCACCAUGGAGCUGGGGCUCAGCUGGCUUUUCCUUGUUGUGCUUUUACAAGGUGUCCAGUGUAAGGAGCAGCUGGUGGAGUCUGGGGGAGGCUUGGUGCUGCCUGGGGGAUCCCUGAGACUCUCCUGUGUGGCCUCUGGAUUCACCUUCAGUAACUAUGGCAUGAACUGGGUCCACCAGGCUCCAGGGAAGGGUCUGGAGUGGGUGGCAUACAUUAAUUAUAAUGGUGGUACCAUAUACUAUGCCAACUCCGUGAAGGGCCAAUUCACCAUCUCCAGAGACAAUGCCAAGAACACCCUGUACUUGGACAUGAGCAGUCUGAGAUCUGAGGACACCGCCAUGUAUUACUGUGCAAGAGACACAGUGAGGGGAAGUCACUGGGAUCUCAGACUCAAACCUCCCUGCAGGGUGUUCAGGACCAGCAGGGGGCGCUGGAACACGCAGAGCUCAGAGUCACACCGUGGCAGGAGUCUCUGCGUUUGCACAUGUGAGGUGCAGCUGGUGGAGCCUGGGGGAGGCCUGGUGGAGCCUGGUGGUCCCCUGAGACUCUCCUGUGCAGCCUCUGGAUCCACCUUUGGUGACUAUGCCAUGAACUGGGUCCGCCAGGCUCCAAUGAAGGAACUGGAGUGGAUCUCAAUCAUUAGUGGUAGUAGCAGCACACACUAUGCCAACUGGGUGAAGGUCUGA